RNAcentral lists this ribosomal RNA (419 nucleotides) under uncultured bacterium. RNAcentral's name for it is "partial 16S ribosomal RNA". It matches the Rfam family "Bacterial small subunit ribosomal RNA", at positions 360 to 776 of the family's 1533-position model. The record is from RNAcentral.
AAUAUUGGUCAAUGGAUGCAACUCUGAACCAGCCAAGUGGCGUGAAGGAUGAAGGUCUUAUGGAUUGUAAACUUCUUUUGCAGGGGAAUAAAAAGCGGUACGUGUAUCGUUUUGCAUGUACCCCGCGAAUACGGAUCGGCUAACUCCGCUCCAGCAGCCGCGGUAAUACGGAGGAUCCGAGCGUUAUCCGGAUUUAUUAGGUUUAAAGGGUGCGCAGGCGGGAGAUUAAGUCGGAGGUGGAAUUUUGCAGCUCAACUGUAAAAGUGCCUUCGAUACUGGUUUACUUGAGUGUGGAUGAAGUAGGCGGAAUUUGUGGUAUAGCGGUGAAAUGCUUAGGUAUCACGAGGAACUCCGAUUGCGCAGGCAGCUUACUAAACCACUACUGACGCUCAGGCACGAAGGCGUGGGGACCAAACAGG